GCAGUGCACUGGUGGCCUGGACCAGGGAAGAUGCUGAGAAUGGGAUUUUGGAAGGAAACUCUUAGGUUGUUACAGAUAGGCCUUGAGGUGAGUGUGGGGUGUCCAGACUAAGGACCAAUAGCUGAGUAGAUGAGGUGGGUGCAGAAAAAGAGCAGCAUUGUCCAAACACCAGUGGACAUGGGGAGAGUGCAUACCCAGGAGGACGGCCCAUGCUCUCAGAUACGAAAGGGUGGGCAGGUGUGACGGGACAGGGUUUGGGAGACAUAAGGGGAAGUGUGUGGCAGGACAGAGACUGGCGUGUCAGGUCCAGUGCCCGAUGCUUAGAACACAUUCAUGUGCCCCUUGCCUGCUGUUGCAGGACCCAGUGACCUUUGAGGACAAGGUCGUGUGCCUUUCUUUCGGAAGAAGUGGGUCUCCUUAGUGAGGCCCAGUGGGGCUUCUGCUGUGAUAUGGUGCUGUCUUCACCAGGUCAGGCUGCCAGUUUCCCCGUGAGAGGUACUGCUGGCCCUAGUUCUGUCCAAUGUUCUGCUACCUCUCCUCCCAGACUACAGUAUAAACAACCCCCAACACCUUUUGCCUUGGGACCUUGACAACUGUGGUCCAAGGUCAAAAAUACCACAACCGGAGUAGCCGGUUAUUUUAUUGUUAUAUUAUAUAUAUAUAUUUCUUGGUUAUUUUUCCAGUCAGGGUCUGUGACUUUUCGGUCCCUCUAUCACACCUCCUCCAGUGGAAGUUUCCUGCCAGCUGCCCCUUGUCAGCGCCUUUACUGGCUUUAUGGGCACUAACAUGGUCAUUGAUUCAGGGGCCACUGAGCUUUUCUAGUGAGGCCUUCCCGGGGUGUUCAUUUUGUGAGGUUCAGUUCUCCCAGAUGCAUAAGUAAUCCUCAUCCACCUUGGUCUGUCAUGGAAUGAAUCACCCCUGACCUGGGGCUGGCUGACCUCUCACAAACGCCUUGAUCUCCCUUAAGAAUUACUGUCUCCACCCACCCCAGUGCGGUCACCCAACUUGAACAUCGAAAGGGGACCCAGCUGGUGGACAGGGUGGCUCGAAUCAGUUCAUGACCAGAGAGACCCAUGGAAGACCAGUCCUGGUGAGUGCAAGACAGGUGUGGAAGGGCCUGUGGCAGUGGGCUGAUCUCUUACCUGGUACCUGACCGGUGUCUUCUGUUGCCCUGGCAUCAAUGUGAGUACCCAUGCCUCUUUUCUAUCUUUCUGACACCCCAUCCUAAUUUACCCUGACUUCCUGUCCCCUGGCUAAACCCUCUUGGUCCUUUGCCUCUCAGCCUCUCUCUUUCUCCCCUCUUAUGGCCAGGUCCUCCAUCAUUGGCCUCCCCUUCACAUAUCCUUAAAUAGUUCUUGAAAACCUGUUCUUCCAUGAGUCUGACUUGUCCCUCUGAGGAAGGUGGGCACAGUGUCAGGGGUCCCAGGCCUGGACUCGCCUCACUGCACAGCACCUGUCUGUCACCAGACACUGAGGCCCUGCCAGCUCCACAUUCUGCAGAAUCCACAGAGAACUGACACUGAAAGAGACACCUGAUCAAUGCACAGCAAAUGGAGAGGUGUUCAAGGAGAGGUGUUCCCUUUUCUACCACCAAAACUUAAAAAUGGGGAAAAAAAUCCCAAGUGCAUUUUGAAGGCCUUCACCUUUGUCUCCAUCCUGAGAAAGCAGGAGUACGUUCACACCUUUGAAUGUUACAUGAGAAAGCCUCCAGCCAGACCUCUAUUUCCAUUGAGCACCAAAAUAUGUGCCCCAUAGAAAGCCCUUAUGAGGGCAGGGAGUGUGGCCCAAAAUUUUGAGCAAAAUUUUGCACUUCCCCCUGUACCAAAUCAUUCACACUGAUAAUCAGGACUCACAAGUGUGGAGAACAGGCAUCUCCAUUCAGAGCUCCACUCUUGUUAGCACCAGAAAAUUCACACCAGGCAACAGUUGUGCAAAUGCAGUAACUACGUGAAAACUUCCAGGAAAAUAUGAAACCUAUUUCAUGCAGUCCCCAUCAGAGAAAGGCAUGAGUACAGCUAGUGUUGGAAAGCCUCCUCUCAGAGUUAAUCCUGUUUUGCAGCAGCAAGUUACCACGUUGUGAGUGAGGUAAGUAGGAGGGCAAAAAGCUGCAGCUCCUGCCUGUUCCGCGUAGAACGCUUCACACUGGAGAAGGAUCCUGUGUGUACAACUGACCCGGGAGAGGUGUCAGCCACACUUCCUUCUUCCCAAUGCCAGAAACCUCACUCUGGAGAGAAGUCUUCUGAGGGCAGGGAAUACAGUAAAGUCUUCAGCUCUCCACCCCCCUUUUUUAACGUUUUAUUUAAAAAAUCAGCCUCUUUUUUUUAACCUUAUCAAUAUAAGAGAAUUAACACUCAAGAAAGAGCCUACAUGAGUAGCCUUCAGGCAGAAGCUGGACCUUGUAUAGAAGGACCGCCACCAGAGGAGACACUCCAGGACUGCCCUGCGCAUGGGGAAGCCUGAAGGGGCAGUGUUGUACUUUGUGACUUGUUGGGGGACUUUGGGAGAGUUGUCGCACCACUGGCUCUUAGGGAAGAAGCCGUGCUGUGUUCGAUGGUCACCUCACAAUUGCUCAGCAUAAAGCAGCCUCUGUUCCCUGUCUGCAGUGCCCUGGAGGGUGAUGGCCCUGCACCCAUUGGCAUGACAUCACGCUGCUGUCCCAUGACUGAGUAGGGCAUGGACUUCACUCCUGCUCUGAGCGAGGGGCCUGAUGGGAUGGCUUCUGGGGGCCUUCUGGGUAAGGUUCCCAUUAUUCGUGGACACUGUGAAGUCUGCAUUUGAUAUCAGUGAUGCCUUCAUAGAGCUGCUUCAAGUACUCGUAACGUGAUGGUUUUGUGCAUUCCUGUCAUUCAGCCCUGGUACUGUUUGACAGUGACUACAUCACUAAUUUACCUUUGAUAUUGCAGUCCUGUUUAGUGGGUGGAGUGAAUUGAGAACAUUGAAUUGAGAGGUGCUCCCAAAUUAGCCAUUGGGCUGGAAAAAGGCACAGCAGCAAGGCAUGGAGCAUGUGUCCAGCUGUGACUCAAUUUGCAUUUCUUCCCCAUGUCCCUGUGAAAUGAAAGGAUGGAAGCCUCUGUUCUGAAGCUUCUGACCUGGAGUUCUCCUGGGGAAGACAGUGUUUGGUCUGGAAGAAGCAAGAUGAUGGUCUCUGUUCCAGGGAAUACCUCCCUCCAACAAUACACCCAGUAUAAGUAUACAAUUUAAUGAUUUUUAAUUAAUGUAAAGAGUUCUGCAGCCAUUAUCUUACCCCAUUCCCAUUGCCCCAAAAAGCUCCUUAUAUCAUGUAUCAGUAUUUUAUUCCAUUUUAUUGCUGAAUGAUAUUCUCUUGUGCAGAUAUACCAAAAUGUGUCCAUCACCAAUUGAUGGACUUUUGAAUUUUUUUCAGUUCUUGGCAAUUAUAAAUAAUGCUUCUAGGAAUAUUUGCUUACAAAUCUUUGUGUAGACAUAUGUUUUCGUUUCUGUUGGGUAAAUGCCUAGGAGUGGAAUUGCUGAGUCGUAUGAUACUUUUAUGUUUAACUCUUUAGAAACUCCAAAGCCAUUUUCCAAAGUGACUGUGCCAUUAACUGUACAGUACAGUGGCAUUAAAUAAAUUCACACAGUUGUGCAACUGUCACUCCUACACAUCUUCAGAAAUUUUUCAUUAUCCUAAACUGAAACUCUCUACCCAUUAAGCAGUCAUCUUACUGGUGUUUUAAUCUACAUUUUUUUUUGUGAGUAAUGAUGUUGGGCAUCUUUUCAUGUACUUAUUAACCAUCUCUUUAUCUUUUGUGAUGAUAAUUGGGUUGUCUUCUUAUCAUUGAAUUGUAAAGUUCUUAAUAGAUUUUAUAUUCAGAAUCCGUAUAUAUAUACACAAGCACUUUCUCUC
RNAcentral lists this long non-coding RNA (3862 nucleotides) under Phocoena sinus (vaquita). RNAcentral describes it as "lncRNA (ENSPSNG00000021884.1)". Lineage: Eukaryota; Metazoa; Chordata; Mammalia; Artiodactyla; Phocoenidae. The record is from RNAcentral.